UACGUAGGGACCAAGCGUUGUUCGGAUUUACUGGGCGUAAGGGGCGCGUAGGCGGUCGUGACAAGUCACUUGUGAAAUCUCCGGGCUUAACUCGGAACGGUCAAGUGAUACUGUCGGACUAGAGUACAGAAGGGGCAACUGGAAUUCUCGGUGUAGCGGUGAAAUGCGUAGAUAUCGAGAGGAACACCUGCGGCGAAGGCGGGUUGCUGGGCUGAUACUGACGCUGAGGCGCGAAAGCUAGGGGAGCGAACGGG
Molecule: ribosomal RNA, 254 nt
Filed under: uncultured bacterium
Lineage: Bacteria
Description: partial 16S ribosomal RNA
Rfam family: Bacterial small subunit ribosomal RNA
Source: RNAcentral